RNAcentral lists this ribosomal RNA (162 nucleotides) under uncultured bacterium. RNAcentral's name for it is "partial 16S ribosomal RNA". It matches the Rfam family "Bacterial small subunit ribosomal RNA", at positions 357 to 511 of the family's 1533-position model. The record is from RNAcentral.
GGGAAUAUUGGACAAUGGGCGAAAGCCUGAUCCAGCCAUGCCGCGUGUGUGAAGAAGGUCUUCGGAUCGUAAAGCACUUUAAGUUGGGAGGAAGGGCAGUAAGCUAAUACCUUGCUGUUUUGACGUUACCGACAGAAUAAGCACCGGCUAACUCUGUGCCAG